GGUCUUGUGAUGAUGGCGUUGUAGGCCAUCGGAGCAUGGACUAAAUGGAAGGGAGUGAUUUCUGUCACCUGCUUUUGUUCUGAGUCCAAAAUUAGGGAAAGAUCAACGAUUCAUUCUGGGAUGAUUGUUCUACCCCCGAAUCCUUGGAGUGGUGUUUUGACUGCCUUGAACUGGUUAAUAGAAAUACCUAUCCUUGUGAAAGCCUCUUAGGACAGCACAUUGGUCGCACUUCCACUGUCAACCAAGACCCUCCUUACUUUAAAGUUGGCGAUGAUAACAGAUAUGACCAAGGCAUCGUCAUGGGGGUAUGAUAUGUCUUCUAAUUCCUCCGAUCCAAAUGUGAUAUCUUUCAUGUCGUUGGGAGCUGUCAUUGAUGUGGAACUGUGUCGUCGGGCAUACUGUUUGCGCCAACUAUUUGAAUCUCCUCCCGAGGUAAUCCCACUGAUUAUAAUGUUGGUACUUGCUACUGACUGGUUACCUCCCCCGUAUUCUGUAGUCUUCCCAUUGUUUCGAUCAUUUCUGGGACGCUUGUCAUGCCUGAUAUACUCUUCAGGAUUCCUCUCUUUAUCAAAGCUUCAAUCUCACAUCGCCAUGUUAUGCAAUCCUCUAUUGUAUGCCCAUGGUCAUGGUGGUAGUUGCAGUACUUGUUCUUGUCCAUGGUCUCAGGGGAAGACCUCAACCUCGGUGGCCACUUGAACUCCUUCAUAUCUUUGAUUUCCAUCAAUAUUUUUGACCUAGAGGUGUUUAGAUGUGUAAGUGUUGGUGGUGUGCCCUGCUUCUGCUUUCCUCUGGCAAGGUCUUGUUGCAGAUUCAGCUCACGCUGCCUCUUAUUCUCGGCCCCAUUAUAAGUCGGACCAACUCUCCUUGGAUUCAAUAUUUCUUCC
RNAcentral lists this long non-coding RNA (884 nucleotides) under Olea europaea subsp. europaea. The record is from RNAcentral. Lineage: Eukaryota; Viridiplantae; Streptophyta; Magnoliopsida; Lamiales; Oleaceae.